RNAcentral lists this ribosomal RNA (494 nucleotides) under uncultured bacterium. RNAcentral's name for it is "partial 16S ribosomal RNA". It matches the Rfam family "Bacterial small subunit ribosomal RNA", at positions 28 to 507 of the family's 1533-position model. The record is from RNAcentral.
GACGAACGCUGGCGGCGUGCUUAACACAUGCCAGUCGAACGGAAAGGCCUGCUUUCCCUUGUGGAUUGCGGGUACUCGAGUGGCGAACGGGUGAGUAACACGUGAGUGAUCUGCCCCCAACUUGGGUAUAAGCCUGGGAAACUGGGUCUAAUUCCCGAUAGGACUGCAGGGUGGUGCCUGUGGUGGAAAACGAUUUUCUAGUGGUUGGGGAUGAGCUCGCGGCCUAUCAGCUUGUUGGUGGGGUAAUGGCCUACCAAGGCGGCGACGGGUAGCCGGCCUGAGAGGGUGGACGGCCACAUUGGGACUGAGAUACGGCCCAGACUCCUACGGGAGGCAGCAGUGGGGAAUAUUGCACAAUGGGCGGAAGCCUGAUGCAGCGACGCCGCGUGGGGGAUGACGGCCUUCGGGUGGUAAACUCCUUUCGACCGCGAGGAAGCCACCUGGUUGGAAGGGUGGUGACGGUAGUGGUAGAAGAAGCACCGGCUAACUACGUG